GAUGAACGCUAGCGGGAGGCUUAACACAUGCAAGUCGAGCGGGAUUAGCAGCAAUGCUAUGAGAGCGGCGCACGGGUGCGUAACGCGUAUGCAACCUGCCUUAUGCAGGGGGAUAGCCCAUGGAAACGUGGAUUAAUACCCCAUAGAAUAUGUGAGUCGCAUGGUUUACAUAUUAAAACUUCGGUGGCAUAAGAUGGGCAUGCGUAGGAUUAGCUAGUUGGUGAGGUAACGGCUCACCAAGGCAACGAUCCUUAGGGGUUCUGAGAGGAUUACCCCCCA
Molecule: ribosomal RNA, 279 nt
Filed under: uncultured Bacteroidota bacterium
Lineage: Bacteria; Pseudomonadati; Bacteroidota
Description: uncultured Bacteroidetes bacterium partial 16S ribosomal RNA
Rfam family: Bacterial small subunit ribosomal RNA
Source: RNAcentral